GCCCGGAUGGCGGAACUGGCAGACGCAGGGGACUCAAAAUCCCCCGAGGGCAACCUCUUGUGGGUUCGAUCCCCACUCCGGGCA
RNAcentral lists this transfer RNA (84 nucleotides) under Gemmatimonadaceae bacterium. RNAcentral's name for it is "tRNA-Leu". It matches the Rfam family "tRNA". From Rfam's summary of the family: Transfer RNA (tRNA) molecules are approximately 80 nucleotides in length. Their secondary structure includes four short double-helical elements and three loops (D, anti-codon, and T loops). Further hydrogen bonds mediate the characteristic L-shaped molecular structure. tRNAs have two regions of fundamental functional importance: the anti-codon, which is responsible for specific mRNA codon recognition, and the 3' end, to which the tRNAs corresponding amino acid is attached (by aminoacyl-tRNA synthetases). tRNAs cope with the degeneracy of the genetic code in two manners: having more than one tRNA (with a specific anti-codon) for a particular amino acid; and 'wobble' base-pairing, i.e. permitting non-standard base-pairing at the 3rd anti-codon position. Lineage: Bacteria; Pseudomonadati; Gemmatimonadota; Gemmatimonadia; Gemmatimonadales; Gemmatimonadaceae. RNAcentral also lists the same sequence under 1 other name. The record is from RNAcentral.